This 442-nucleotide ribosomal RNA is filed under the name uncultured bacterium. RNAcentral's name for it is "partial 16S ribosomal RNA". It matches the Rfam family "Bacterial small subunit ribosomal RNA", at positions 338 to 795 of the family's 1533-position model. The record is from RNAcentral.
CCUACGGGUGGCAGCAGUGGGGAAUAUUGGGCAAUGGGCGCAAGCCUGACCCAGCAACGCCGCGUGAAGGAAGAAGGCUUUCUGGUUGUAAACUUCUUUUAAGAGGGAAGAGCAGCAUACGGUACCUCUUGAAUAAGCCACGGCUAACUACGUGCCAGCAGCCGCGGUCAUACGUAGGUGGCAAGCGUUGUCCGUGUUUACUGGGUGUAAAGGGCGUGCAGCCGGGAAGACAAGUCAGAUGUGAAAUCCCGCGGCUCAACCGCGGAACUGCAUUUGAAACUGUUUGUCUUGAGUACCGGAGAGGUCAUCGGAAUUCCUUGUGUAGCGGUGAAAUGCGUAGAUAUAAGGAAGAACACCAGUGGCGAAGGCGGAUGACUGGACGGCAACUGACGGUGAGGCGCGAAAGCGUGGGGAGCAAACAGGAUUAGAUACCCCAGUAGUC